Molecule: transfer RNA, 66 nt
Filed under: Cherax quadricarinatus
Lineage: Eukaryota; Metazoa; Arthropoda; Malacostraca; Decapoda; Parastacidae
Description: tRNA-His
Rfam family: tRNA
About the family: Transfer RNA (tRNA) molecules are approximately 80 nucleotides in length. Their secondary structure includes four short double-helical elements and three loops (D, anti-codon, and T loops). Further hydrogen bonds mediate the characteristic L-shaped molecular structure. tRNAs have two regions of fundamental functional importance: the anti-codon, which is responsible for specific mRNA codon recognition, and the 3' end, to which the tRNAs corresponding amino acid is attached (by aminoacyl-tRNA synthetases). tRNAs cope with the degeneracy of the genetic code in two manners: having more than one tRNA (with a specific anti-codon) for a particular amino acid; and 'wobble' base-pairing, i.e. permitting non-standard base-pairing at the 3rd anti-codon position.
Source: RNAcentral
AUUUAAAUAGUUUAGAGUAAAACAUCGGGUUGUGGUAUCGAAGAUAUAAGAAAGUUAUUUUAAAUC